AACGAACGCUGGCGGCAGGCUUAACACAUGCAAGUCGAACGCACCUUUCGGGGUGAGUGGCAGACGGGUGAGUAACGCGUGGGAAUCUACCCUUCUCUACGGGAUAGCUCCGGGAAACUGGAAUUAAUACCGUAUACGUCCUGAGGGGGAAAGAUUUAUCGGGGAAGGAUGAGCCCGCGUUGGAUUAGCUAGUUGGUGGGGUAAAGGCCUACCAAGGCGACGAUCCAUAGCUGGUCUAAGAGGAUGAUCAGCCACAUUGGGACUGAGACACGGCCCAAACUCCUACGGGAGGCAGCAGUGGGGAAUAUUGGACAAUGGGCGCAAGCCUGAUCCAGCCAUGCCGCGUGAGUGAUGAAGGCCCUAGGGUUGUAAAGCUCUUUCAGUGGGGACGUUAAUGACGGUACCCACAGAAGAAGCCCCGGCUAACUUCGUG
RNAcentral lists this ribosomal RNA (433 nucleotides) under uncultured bacterium. RNAcentral describes it as "partial 16S ribosomal RNA". It matches the Rfam family "Bacterial small subunit ribosomal RNA", at positions 29 to 507 of the family's 1533-position model. The record is from RNAcentral.